Molecule: ribosomal RNA, 253 nt
Filed under: uncultured bacterium
Lineage: Bacteria
Description: partial 16S ribosomal RNA
Rfam family: Bacterial small subunit ribosomal RNA
Source: RNAcentral
UACGGAGGGUGCGAGCGUUGUCCGGAAUCACUGGGCGUAAAGGGCGCGUAGGUGGCCGAGCAAGUUCGCGGUGAAAGCCCGGGGCUCAACCCCGGGUCGGCCGUGGCAACUACUUGGCUUGAGCACUGUAGGGGCGGGUGGAAUUCCGGGUGUAGCGGUGGAAUGCGUAGAUAUCGGGAGGAACACCUAUGGCGAAGGCAGCUCGCUGGGACGUUACUGACGCUGAGACGCGAAAGCGUGGGGAGCAAACAGG